UUGACGGGACCCGCACAAGCAGCGGAGCGUGUGGUUUAAUUCGUUGCUACACGAAGAACCUUACCUGGGUUUGACAUAUAGGUUGUAGGGAACUGAAAGGGACCGACCCUUCGGGGAGCCUAUACAGGUGUUGCAUGGCUGUCGUCAGCUCGUGUCGUGAGAUGUUCGGUUAAGUCCGCUAACGAGCGCAACCCUCGUCGUAUGUUAUAUGUGUCAUACGAGACUGCCGGUAAAAAGCCGGAGGAAGGUGAGGAUGAUGUCAAGUCAGCAUGACCUUUAUAUCCAGGGCUACACACACGCUACAAUGGUCUGUACAAUGGGUAGCCAAGCCGCGAGGCGGAGCCAAUCCUGAAAGCAGGCCUCAGUUCAGAUUGCAGUCUGCAACUCGACUGCACGAAGAUGGAGUUGCUAGUAACCGCAGGUCAGCUAUACUGCGGUGAAUACGUUCCCGGGGCUU
Molecule: ribosomal RNA, 457 nt
Filed under: uncultured Anaerolineaceae bacterium
Lineage: Bacteria; Bacillati; Chloroflexota; Anaerolineae; Anaerolineales; Anaerolineaceae
Description: bacterial SSU rRNA
Rfam family: Bacterial small subunit ribosomal RNA
Source: RNAcentral